This 458-nucleotide ribosomal RNA is filed under the name uncultured bacterium. Its description in RNAcentral is "bacterial SSU rRNA". It matches the Rfam family "Bacterial small subunit ribosomal RNA", at positions 346 to 796 of the family's 1533-position model. The record is from RNAcentral.
GUGCAGCAGUCGAGAAUCUUUCGCAAUGGGCGAAAGCCUGACGAAGCGACGCCGUGUGAGCGAAGAAGGCCUUCGGGUUGUAAAGCUCUUUCGCUUGGGAACAAGAGAGGCUGGCAAAUAACCAGCCGAUUUGAGGGUACCAGGUAAAGAAGCACCGGCUAACUCCGUGCCAGCAGCUGCGGUAAUACGGAGGGUGCAAGCAUUAAUCGGAUUUAUUGGGCGUAAAGGGCGCGUAGGCGGGGAUGAAAGUCAGAUGUGAAAUCCCGGGGCUCAACCUCGGAACUGCAUUUGAUACUCCAUCUCUUGAGGAUAGGCGGAGAAAACGGAAUUCCACGUGUAGCGGUGAAAUGCGUAGAUAUGUGGAAGAACACCGGUGGCGAAAGCGGUUUUCUAGCUUAAACCUGACGCUGAGGCGCGAAAGCAAGGGGAUCAAACAGGAUUAGAUACCCCCGUAGUCC